GGGACUGCUGCCACACCCGCUCCUCACAUAUGAGAGCGCUGAGGCUUACGGGUGCUCUUUCACCCUUGGGAGGUGCCAUGGAGUGUGUGACACCCCCCUCCCCCAAUGCACAGCCUAGAACCCUAAUCUGAGUGAGACCAUAUUUAUAAAUCAAGCAUGUAGAAGGUGAUCAGGUCAUGAGGGUGAAGCCUCAAACAACAAGAUUAGUGAUGUCAGAAGAAGCCAGAAUGGAUGCCCUUACCCAAACCAAACUAUGCCUGCACUCUGACCCCAAACCUGUAGCUUGCAGAAGUGUGAGGAAUGAAGGGUUAUUGUUUUAGCUACCCAGUGGACAGUGACUCAGAAGGGAGGGGAACAGAGGAGGAAGACAGAGACAGAGAGAAGAAAGGUGGUGUUGUGUUUGUUCGCUGGGCUGGUGAUUGAGCCCACAGCCUCCCACAUCCUAAACAAAUGUUCGUUCACGGAGCUAAAUCGCCAGCAUGAUGUGUGUCAGUGAGAAGAGGCUCCAUCUCUGCAGGUCAAUGGAAGUCUUCUGUUAUUAUGGGCCAAGACUUAGUUAUGGGAAGAGACUGUGGGAGAGGAGGGUGCGGAGAGGAAACAGAAAGGUUUGGGGGAAGGUGGAAAGGUAUGUCCAACUUGAGCGUAUGCAUAGGACAGUUUGGGAGGUUGAUGAUGAUGAAGAUCCCUGUGGAGCUUGCCUAAUUGUAAAACUCACACUGGCCUCAAACAUGCAAUCCUCCUGCCUCAGCUUCCUGGGUGCUGGGGAUAAAACCCAGUAAGGCAAGCACUCCCGCCACAUUCCCAGCAUCCUAUGUAUGUGUGCUCUUAAUCUUUCACUCAACUAAAUCGUAGCUAAAUCAAGUUUCAAGUGGCUUUUAGAUUCUAAGACACCAUGUAGAACCUUUUAGAAAUGAAAAUUCACGGUGCUGGAGAGGCGGCUUAGUGGUUAGGAGCACACGGUGCUCUGGCAGCAAAUCUGAGGUUUGAGCGUGUCUUGGCAUCAGAGGCUGAGAGUAAGCUUCAACUGAAGAAGAAAGCCCCAGCAUCUGAGCAGAGUCGUGGCCGGGGGAAGCCCCUAUUGAGGAUGCUCGGGCUGCAGAGGCGUCCACAGGAGACCGCAAUCAUUGGCGCAAGCCCUGGAAACUCAUCAACAAUGAGAACAGGAACUUGAGCUGAAGGAUUUGUGACAACGUGGGCAGAACAGGACAGUGAGAAUUUGGGUGGACAGAUUUCAUAAGAAACUAUUAAGCAAGAGGUGUCUGAGUAAGCUGGCAACCCAGCCCCAGAAACAGAAACAGACCUGGCGACCGUCCUAGGAGGCAGGCUGGAGGCAGGGAGUCAGCUGGAUCCAAAUCGGGAACAGAGCAGGGGAGGGGAGGCGAGCAGAGCCCAGAAGACCCCACGGUCCACAUUUUGUCGUCAAGUCUUGGAGUUAACUGACCUAGUUCAUUUACACUUACUUCUGACUGGAGGCAAGGAAUAGCUUUGCUGAUGGUUGCAAGGGGGCAAGAAGAAAAUAAUUGACCAAUUACUCACCUAAGUGAGCCAAGCAGGCACUAAAAGGCAAAAUGCCAUUCAACCACUCAACAUCCAGUCUGCUGCAGGGAACAACACAAGCUGAAAGUUUUCACUGAUACCCCAGGAAAACACGGAGCCCCUGGCUUGCUCUAUUGAAAUCCUGGUUAAUGCUUUUGUGAGCGAGAAGACUGUGGGAAGCAGCCUGCAAACAGCUAUCAUGGGAAGCAGAGAUGCUCGGAGGGAGUAGCAACAUGUGGAGACUUGGGAGAUGGGGCUACCAGGUACAGAUGAAGAACCAUGGUGGAUUCGAACCUUCCCUUGUUCAUGCCUAGCUCUUCCCGGGUCUUUUCUAAGGUUCCUUUUCCUGUUAAUUCGUACCUAGUUCAAGGCAAACAGUUAAGGGUUGAGGAGGGGGAAUGCUCACUCUUUAUAGGCUUGGGGGAGCAACCUGCUCUGUGCGAUAAUUAUUUGUCUAGGGCAGAUAUUUGCAAACCUCUGCUGAGCAUCGGGACCUGAAAUAGAAGACACCUGCAGUAGCUGCCACUUCUCCACACGCCUUACACACCACAGAAUGUCACUGGCGCUCUGCACCUGAGUUUCAAUUAAUGGGCUGAAUGGAUGACCUUUG
RNAcentral lists this long non-coding RNA (2146 nucleotides) under Mus caroli (Ryukyu mouse). RNAcentral describes it as "lncRNA (MGP_CAROLIEiJ_G0006246.1)". The record is from RNAcentral. Lineage: Eukaryota; Metazoa; Chordata; Mammalia; Rodentia; Muridae.